RNAcentral lists this ribosomal RNA (253 nucleotides) under uncultured bacterium. Its description in RNAcentral is "partial 16S ribosomal RNA". It matches the Rfam family "Bacterial small subunit ribosomal RNA", at positions 524 to 776 of the family's 1533-position model. The record is from RNAcentral.
UACGGAGGGUGCAAGCGUUGUCCGGAUUUAUUGGGUUUAAAGGGUGCGUAGGCGGCUUUAUAAGUCAGGGGUGAAAGCCGACAGCUUAACUGUCGAAAUGCCUUUGAUACUGUAGAGCUUGAGUACAGAUGAGGUAGGCGGAAUUGAUGGUGUAGCGGUGAAAUGCAUAGAUACCAUCAGGAACACCGAUUGCGAAGGCAGCUUACUGGGCUGUAACUGACGCUGAGGCACGAAAGUGCGGGGAUCAAACAGG